UACGAAGGGGGCUAGCGUUGCUCGGAAUCACUGGGCGUAAAGCGCACGUAGGCGGACUCUUAAGUCGGUGGUGAAAUCCUGGAGCUCAACUCCAGAACUGCCUUCGAUACUGGGAGUCUCGAGUCCGGGAGAGGUGAGUGGAACUGCGAGUGUAGAGGUGAAAUUCGUAGAUAUUCGCAAGAACACCAGUGGCGAAGGCGGCUCACUGGCCCGGUACUGACGCUGAGGAGCGAAAGUGUGGGGAGCGAACAGG
This 253-nucleotide ribosomal RNA is filed under the name uncultured bacterium. Its description in RNAcentral is "partial 16S ribosomal RNA". It matches the Rfam family "Bacterial small subunit ribosomal RNA", at positions 524 to 776 of the family's 1533-position model. The record is from RNAcentral.